Molecule: ribosomal RNA, 255 nt
Filed under: uncultured bacterium
Lineage: Bacteria
Description: partial 16S ribosomal RNA
Rfam family: Bacterial small subunit ribosomal RNA
Source: RNAcentral
UACAGAGGGUGCAAGCGUUAAUCGGAUUUACUGGGCGUAAAGGGCGCGUAGGUGGUAAAGCAAGUAAGAUGUGAAAGCCCUGGGCUUAACCUGGGAAGUGCAUCUUAAACUGCUUAACUAGAGUAUGGUAGAGGGUAGUGGAAUUUCCGGUGUAGCGGUGAAAUGCGUAGAUAUCGGGAGGAACACCUGUGGCGAAAGCGGCUCACUGGACCAUAACUGACGCUGAUGCACGAAAAGCUAGGGGGAGCAAACAGG